AGUGAACGCUGGCGGUAGGCCUAACACAUGCAAGUCGAACGGCAGCACAGUAAGAGCUUGCUCUUACGGGUGGCGAGUGGCGGACGGGUGAGGAAUACAUCGGAAUCUACUUUUUCGUGGGGGAUAACGUAGGGAAACUUACGCUAAUACCGCAUACGACCUACGGGUGAAAGCAGGGGAUCUUCGGACCUUGCGCGAUUGAAUGAGCCGAUGUCGGAUUAGCUGGUUGGCGGGGUAAAGGCCCACCAAGGCGACGAUCCGUAGCUGGUCUGAGAGGAUGGUCAGCCACACUGGAACUGAGACACGGUCCAGACUCCUACGGGAGGCAGCAGUGGGGAAUAUUGGACAAUGGUCGCAAGCCUGAUCCAGCCAUACCGCGUGGGUGAAGAAGGCCUUCGGGUUGUAAAGCCCUUUUGUUGGGAAAGAAAAGCAGCAGGUUAAUACCACGCUGUUCUGACGGUACCCAAAGAAUAAGCACCGGCUAACUUCGUG
RNAcentral lists this ribosomal RNA (492 nucleotides) under uncultured bacterium. Its description in RNAcentral is "partial 16S ribosomal RNA". It matches the Rfam family "Bacterial small subunit ribosomal RNA", at positions 29 to 507 of the family's 1533-position model. The record is from RNAcentral.